This 250-nucleotide unclassified non-coding RNA is filed under the name plant metagenome. RNAcentral's name for it is "partial contains small subunit ribosomal RNA, internal transcribed spacer 1, and 5.8S ribosomal RNA". The record is from RNAcentral.
GUAGGUGAACCUGCGGAAGGAUCAUUAACACGUAUCCACGUAUCAACCCCUCUGUGCAAACUCUAACUUCGAAAGGUUUGGUCUUAGUGUGUUGUUCGCAUGGGUCCUAAUGAUGGAGCGAGGAUCUUCGGAUCUUUGCUAGGGCUCGAACGACAUGUGUUUGACGAUCAACCGCCACUUUCCCAUCGUUGGCCCCUCUUUUUAAACCCCUUGUACUUCUUUGUACUGAACCAAUUCUUCUGACGCUCUU